This is a non-coding RNA of Pelobates cultripes (western spadefoot toad), 212 nucleotides long. The record is from the annotation of a GenBank genome assembly. Lineage: Eukaryota; Metazoa; Chordata; Amphibia; Anura; Pelobatidae.
GAAGAACUCGCUUAUUAUACACAGCUCACAGGAGUGAUUGAAAUGCCUUCAACAAUUUAGUAGAUGGCAACAUAAUUCAGUUUAUGAGGGAUUGCCAUAUAUCUGUUUCAUGAGCCGAGCCCUAUAAUAAUAGUACAUAACACAAAUGUAUUAUCCCACAAAUAAGGAGCCAUAUACUAAAUUGCUGCAAAAAGAUAAAAAUCACAGACUAG